UACAGAUGAAGAAUCUUCCUGCAACUGCUCAGGUGAUUUUCUGAUCAACUUCUUAUUGAAAUGAUGGGUUUAGUGAUGAAGCUUUUUUUAUAUGUUGCUUCCGGAUAAGACUUGCCAGCAUGUCACAUGUAUUGCUUUGUGAGGGCCAUCCACCAGAUAGACCCACCAAGCAUGUUUCUUGGCCUCACUAAACUAGUUCGCAUUAAUGUAUGGAGAAGCUGGACAGUUAAAAAAUGUUGAGCAGCAGUUCACCUUGAAAUUACAAGCGAGGUCCACCCAAUUAGUGGAUUGGCUUUAUUGUUUGGUCAGAGAACAUACAUGGUGGGAUUUUAUUCUCUCACAUAUAUUCUGUGUUGGCAUGUGUCCCUGUGAGUAGCCUUCACAUUUUCUGUUGCAUUUGAUAAAUAUGGAAUGGUAGUUAUUCAUAAAUGGCAUUUGAUAAACAUACAGUCCAUCUGUUGCAUUUGAUAAAAUGUGCUUUAGCCACAUUUUUGCUUUGAUUGAAUUGUGAAUCAAAUUCUGAAGAUCUAGGUCUUGGUUUUCCCUGGAAACCCAUAUGUGCAUACAAAUGCUCAUUUUCUCUCAUUCCCUUUGGAAUCAUUCAACAGAUCAACAACAUUGGCUUAGAUGGAAAGAAAAAAAAUAUCAUAACAAGAAACUAUAGCAAUGGGUUGCUAUCUCACAUAGGGAAAGGAAAAACAUUUUAUAGCAGUCAACCUAUCGCAUAUAUAUCUGAGAGAUUUUGCAUUCUCAACAGUUACUGUGUAAUUUUCAUACAUUUAGUGUUGAUUCCAAAAAUUCUGUUUUGCUUGUGGAUUUCAUGAUGAUGCAGUCAUCUGAAUUUUGAAAUUUUCUUUUAUUGGAACUAAUGAAUAUAAUGACCAAAUUACAGAGAAUAUCACAGGUCUGAGCAAAGCAGAACUGUUGCUGUUGCAUUUGUACUCAAUGGUCUUGGGCUUGGGCCUAUCACAUCUAUUGCAGGAUGGUGGAUGAUACCAUCCAUAAAUGUGGAUGGAAGAAGAUGGCUGACACCAAGACACAAAAUUCAAGCUCCACAUGCUUGGACCUUGGCCUCAAAUCUAAGCAUUUUUCGUAUUAGUAGUCGCUUGCAGGAAUGAUCUUGCUACAACAGAACUGAGCAUAAUGAUUUUCUGGAUCCUUUGGUACUGGUAUCAAUGACUUCUGUCCAGUUAUUGUUUCUUGGUGAAACCAACGUUGCUAACAAAGCUGGUUUACCAUGGUUACUGAU
Molecule: long non-coding RNA, 1249 nt
Organism: Magnolia sinica
Lineage: Eukaryota; Viridiplantae; Streptophyta; Magnoliopsida; Magnoliales; Magnoliaceae
Exons: 2
Source: RefSeq, a predicted model, not a curated record